Cynoglossus semilaevis (tongue sole) is the source of this 971-nucleotide non-coding RNA. Lineage: Eukaryota; Metazoa; Chordata; Actinopteri; Pleuronectiformes; Cynoglossidae. The record is from the annotation of a RefSeq genome assembly.
UUCUGAUAAAGUUUUUAGUUUCACAUCUUUUAUGUUUUCACGAAACACAGGGAGGUUUGAACAAGAGUCAUUUAACAGAGAAUAAAAUUUAAAUAAUUUAAAAACACAGUCUGUGUGUAGAGAUUACAGUUUACGCCAACAGAUGGAGACACAGCACAUGUAUAAAAAAAGGAAGUUGGAUGGAUUAAUGCCUGCACAAACACACACACGCACGCACGCACGCACACACAGACAGACAGAGACUCUUUAACCUGAGCUUCACUCCUCCUCCCCUCAGUGUUGGUCUAACAAUGUCUACAUCCACACAGACGUUUGUCCUCUUGGUCUCUUUCUACUGUCAGGUGAGCGCUGUCACAUUUCAACAGUCCCCUCCUCAGUUAGUGAAGGAGAACACCAGGAUCAAGAUCAACUGCAGUCACAGUGACAGCACCCUUUUGCAGAUGCUGUGGUACCAGCAGCUACAGGACAGUCUGUCCAUGACCCUCAUUGGGUUUACAUAUAGUGAAAACUCACCCACCUACGAGGGUUCCUCAGAGGAACAGUUCCAGCUGACCAAAGAAGACACAUUAUCGGGAUCUCUGAUUAUUCUCAGUGCCAGCCUGUCGCACUCAGCAGUGUAUUUCUGCGCUGCCAGCACACAGUGAUGUGCUUCCACGUCACUCCCUCUCAAAAAAUCUGCUUUGUGAAGCACUUGCAGAAAGGCCACACACACAAUUUUAAACAACAAAAAGUGGAUAAAACUGCAAAUGUAAGCAAAGUAUUUGUGAGGCUAAAUGUACCUGUACACCACAAUUUGAUGACUUUUACGUCAAGCCUUGUAAGUGAUAUUUGACUGAACUCUACUAAUACUGUUUGAUCCAUAGCUGUUAUUUAUAUAUAUAAAAAAAUCAAAUCAAAUCAAAUCAAAUAAAUAAAAAUCAAGAAGCAUUUUCUACUCUGUUGGGGAUUGUAAAUAACAUCUAGAUAAAUAA